This 915-nucleotide ribosomal RNA is filed under the name uncultured archaeon. RNAcentral's name for it is "bacterial SSU rRNA". It matches the Rfam family "Archaeal small subunit ribosomal RNA", at positions 1 to 922 of the family's 1478-position model. The record is from RNAcentral.
UUCCGGUUGAUCCUGCCGGAGGUCACUGCUAUUGGGAUUCGACUAAGCCAUGCGAGUCGAGAGGGUUCGGCCCUCGGCUGACGGCUCAGUAACACGUGGAUAAUCUGCCCUAGGGUGGAGGAUAACCUCGGGAAACUGAGAAUAAUACUCCAUAGGUCUAAGAUGCUGGAAUGCAUUUAGACUGAAAACUCCGGUGCCCUAGGAUGAGUCUGCGGACUAUCAGGUUGUAGUCAGGGUAAAGACCUGACUAGCCUACGACGGAUACGGGUUGUGAGAGCAAUAACCCGGAGAUGAUAUCUGAGACACGAUAUCAGGCCCUACGGGGCGCAGCAGGCGCGAAAACUUCACACUGUGCGAAAGCGCGAUGAGGGAAUCCCAAGUGCUUGCACGUAAGUGUAAGCUGUUUUUAUGUUUAAAAUGCAUAGAGAGUAAGGGCUGGGUAAGACGGGUGCCAGCCGCCGCGGUAAUACCUGCAGCUCAAGUGGUGAUCAUUAUUAUUGGGCCUAAAACGUUCGUAGCCGGUUUAGUAAAUGCCUGGGUAAAUCGUGUAGCUUAACUAUACGGAUUCCGGGUAGACUGCUAAACUUGAGACCGGGAGAGGCUAGAGGUACUCCUGGGGUAGAGGUGAAAUUCUGUAAUCCUAGGGGGACCACCAGUGGCGAAGGCGUCUAGCUAGAACGGGUCUGACGGUGAGGGACGAAGCCCUGGGGCGCAAACCGGAUUAGAUACCCGGGUAGUCCAGGGUGUAAACGCUGCUUGCUUGAUGUUAGUCGGGCUCCGAGCCCGAUUAGUGUCGGAGAGAAGUUGUUAAGCAAGCUGCCUGGGGAGUACGGUCGCAAGGCUGAAACUUAAAGGAAUUGGCGGGGGAGCACAGCAACGGGUGGAGCGUGCGGUUUAAUUGGAUUCAACGCCGGG